GAAUCAACGCUGGCGGCGUGCCUCAGACAUGCAAGUCGAACGAUUAAACUUUCCUUCGGGAAAGAUAUAAAGUGGCGCACGGGUGAGUAACACGUAAGUAAUCUACCUUUGAGUGGGGAAUAACGUUCGGAAACGGACGCUAAUACCGCAUAAUGCAGCGGCACCGCAAGGUGACAGUUGUUAAAGGAGCAAUUCGCUUAAAGAGGAGCUUGCGGCAGAUUAGCUUGUUGGAAGGUAACGGCUUACCAAGGCUACGAUCUGUAUCCGGUCUAAGAGGACGGUCGGACACACUGACACUGAAUAACGGGUCAGACUCCUACGGGAGGCAGCAGUGGGGAAUAUUGGACAAUGGGCGAAAGCCUGAUCCAGCCAUGCCGCGUGAGUGAUGAAGGCCUUAGGGUUGUAAAGCUCUUUACCCGGGAAGAUAAUGACGAUACCGGGAGAAUAAGCCCGGCUAACUUCGUGCCAGCCGCCGCAGU
Molecule: ribosomal RNA, 479 nt
Filed under: uncultured bacterium
Lineage: Bacteria
Description: bacterial SSU rRNA
Rfam family: Bacterial small subunit ribosomal RNA
Source: RNAcentral